This 94-nucleotide ribosomal RNA is filed under the name Escherichia coli. The record is from RNAcentral. Lineage: Bacteria; Pseudomonadati; Pseudomonadota; Gammaproteobacteria; Enterobacterales; Enterobacteriaceae.
UCUGGCGGCCGUAGCGCGGUGGUCCCACCUGACCCCAUGCCGAACUCAGAAGUGAAACGCCGUAGCGCCGAUGGUAGUGUGGGGUCUCCCCAUG